Molecule: non-coding RNA, 3046 nt
Organism: Chrysemys picta bellii (western painted turtle)
Lineage: Eukaryota; Metazoa; Chordata; Testudines; Emydidae
Source: RefSeq, a predicted model, not a curated record
GUGUUAUUGGCACCGAGCAGGGUGGAGAGGAGGAGGCAGGCAGGGGGGUGGGAUUGGUGGGGGAGCUCUCUCGCUCUCGGCUGCCUUCAGCUGUUCCCAUCCAAAUGCCAGGCCAGCGCGCAGCCUGCAGCAGCCCCGUUUAACAGCGCAGCCCCGAGCAGAAGUUGGCGAGUUGCUGCUUGGGAAGGGCGGGCGGCUCCGGCGUUGGGGGGUGGCGGCUGCGGUCUAUGAGGGACUCCCGGGCGCCGCAGGAACCGGCGAGCCAUGGACGGGGGUGGGGGUGUCUCCUCCUCGGCCCUGGAGAAGAACGUGGCGGAGCUGACGGUCAUGGACGUGUACGACAUCGCCUCGCUGGUGGGGCAGGAGUUCGAGCGGGUCAUUGACCAGCACGGCUGCGAGGCCAUCGCCCGCCUCAUGCCCAAGGUGGUGCGGGUGCUGGAGAUCUUGGAGGUGCUGGUGAGCCGCAAUCACAUCAACCCCGAAAUGGAGGAGCUGCGGCUGGAGCUGGAUCGGCUCCGGCUGGAGAGGAUGGACCGGAUCGAGAAGGAGAAGAAGCACCAGAAGGAAUUAGAACUGGUGGAGGAUGUAUGGAGAGGGGAAGCACAGGAUCUUCUUACCCAAAUUGCUCAGCUUCAGGAAGAGAACAAACAGCUGAUGACAAACCUGUCGCACAAAGACAUCAAUUUCACAGAAGAGGAAUUUCAGAAACACGAAGGAAUGUCGGAGAGGGAGAGGCAAGUGAUGAAGAAGCUGAAGGAAGUGGUAGAUAAACAAAGGGAUGAGAUUAGAGCCAAGGACCGGGAACUGGGACUUAAAAAUGAGGAUGUGGAGGCACUGCAACAACAACAGAACAGGCUAAUGAAAAUUAAUCACGACCUUCGGCACAGAAUCACAGUAGUUGAGGCUCAAGGGAAAGCGCUGAUUGAGCAGAAGGUGGAAUUGGAAGCAUAUCUGCAAACCAAGGAACAGGAGAUGGGCACUUUGAGGGCAGAGCUUGGGAAGCUGAGAGAGAAGCUACAGGGGGAGCACAGCCAAAAUGGAGAAGAAAUAAAGACAGAACCUAACAAUGAUGACUUUCUCUCUGAAUCGGAGAAGAUGGCUCUGGAUUUAAAAGAUCCAAACCGUCCAAGAUUUACUCUACAAGAACUACGGGAUGUCUUACACGAGCGGAAUGAACUGAAGUCUAGAGUGUUUUUGUUGCAGGAGGAGCUUUUAUAUUAUAAGAGUGAGGAAACAGAAGAAGAAACUAGAUCCCCUCAACCUACACCCAUAAUUAAUUCAAAAACCUCAACUCAGCCAGAAUCUGGAAUCAAACGACUGUUUAGUUUCUUCUCUCGUGAUAAAAAACGCAUGCAGACGACACAGAAAAACGUUCACUUCCAGGAUACUUUUGGCGAAUGGGCAGAUUCAAACAAAGAGGACUCCUACACCGAACAAGGCCAAGAGGCCCUUCAGCAUCUGUGAUUAACACUCCAAGCUGUGUUGCUUACCACAAUAGGUCUGAACAUUCUAGUAACAAGAAGCUUCCAUAACCAAAUCUGGCAGCUCAUCAUUUUUUAUUUGCCUGGCCCAUGUUGACGGUUGUUUGACAUACUUUUCCAAAGGGAUUCCUCAGUGUUUACUUGGCGACUGCUCUCCGAAAACAGAAUCCAGGCUCUGUAGUAAUGGUUAUUUAUACUCUCGGGUAUCAAAGCUUCUAGAUAACUGGUUUUGUGCUGAAUAACAAGUCUGUCUGACUCUUGCAUUAACUACAGUAACACAAGCUUCUUUAAACCAAAAAGCCCCCUGUGCCAUUAUUAGAGAUUUAUUUGCAUUGCACAAUAUCUAGUGGUGAAGACUCUGAUACCAUGUUUGUUAACUGGGGGGGGGAGGGGGGGGAUUUUUCUUAGUUCUGUUAAUGACACUUUCAAAGAGAGUUUGCAGUGUAUACACUAUUUCCAGGGCAGGUCCUACCACAGCUGUAUCCUGUCAAACUCACAGGUUGCAGAGAAACUUCUUGGAACUUCAACUGAUAAAAAUACAGAAACUGGAACAGCUGUGAGGGACUGUGAUUGUAUAUUCCCCUUGUUGUUUAUAGUGCCUAAAGCAUGUAGAUACUGAUGUACAAGGUGAGUGUGCCUUGCCUUUUGCUCUGAGUUAUGCAGUAUUAACAGAAAAUGAAUUGCUCACAUGGAGGAAUUCUAAACACUCUGCUUUUUUUUCUUCUUCUUCGUACCAUGCCCUUUUUCCCUCCACCCCUCCUCUCUCUGUGUAAUAUCAGACCUCUGCUGUACAGGAAAUAGAUCACUUUCCCACAAAAGGCUUUGAACAAAGCCCCAGGCACCACUUACACAAGUUCUUAUUCCCUAUCUGAAAACCAUUUUAACAUAAGUAUAGUGGAGGUUUUAAGUCAGAUGAUAACUCCUUUGUUCUGUGUAGACAGUCCCAAUCUCACCUCCAGCCCUCCCCAAAAUUCUGUUGGGACUGUGGGGACAAUAGACUCUAAAACCCCAAUCAUGCAGGCUAUGCCCUAAGCUAACAUAUGUUAUACUGCAGGGGUGCUCUGUAUGGACCCUUAGUUACAUGCAACAGCUUGGAGCAGUGGGGCCUAACUCUAUAAUGAAAAUCCCACCUCUGUACACGGAUGAUCUAUGGGAAGGUCUGAUCUGAAACUCAGUUGUUGAUAUAAGCCCAUCCCCAAUUUAACUGUAUUUGAACAACUGAGUAGUGGCCAUAAACACCCACUAGCAAAUCCAUCUGUAAGACAGUUGUUACUGGAAUGGGUGCCCACCCAGACCAUAUUGAGACACACUCCCUGAGAGCCAUGCUACCCAAACUGUGCUACACAUUAUCCCCCUAACGUGAGAGAGGCCUUGUCCACUCUGUUGAAGCAGAGAGAUAACUAUUCUUUGUUACAAUGGAGUUUAAGCCAUUUUUGGGGCUCAGCUGUACUAUAGAAAGAGUCAUACUACUGCACAGUUCUGCCAUCGGUGAGAUGUAUCUGCAUAUAUUUGCCUAUUGGCUUGUCUGCUCUAGAGUAACAUUCUUAAAAAAAAAAAAAAAAUAA